Gorilla gorilla gorilla (western lowland gorilla) is the source of this 106-nucleotide small nuclear RNA. Lineage: Eukaryota; Metazoa; Chordata; Mammalia; Primates; Hominidae. The record is from Ensembl.
GUGCUCACUUUGGCAGCAUAUGCGCUAAAGUUGGAAUGAUACAGAGAAGAUUAGCAUGCCCCAGUGUGAGGAUGACAUGCAAAUUCAUGAAGCAUCCCCUAUUUUC